UCUCCGUAGGUGAACCUGCGGAGGGAUCAUUACUGAGUGAGGGUUUAACCGCCCGACCUCCAACCCUUUGUGAACACAUCUUGUUGCUUCAGGGGCGACCCUGCCGUCCGCGGCUGAGCGCCCCCGGGGUCAAUCAAACACUGCAUUCUCUGCGUCGGAGUAUUAGUAAAUCUAAUCAAAACUUUCAACAACGGAUCUCUUGAUUCUGGCAUCGAUGCAGAACGCAGC
RNAcentral lists this unclassified non-coding RNA (228 nucleotides) under uncultured fungus. RNAcentral's name for it is "sequence contains ITS1, 5.8S rRNA gene". The stretch from base 180 to 228 matches the Rfam family "5.8S ribosomal RNA", at positions 1 to 49 of the family's 154-position model. Lineage: Eukaryota; Fungi. The record is from RNAcentral.